Molecule: ribosomal RNA, 253 nt
Filed under: uncultured bacterium
Lineage: Bacteria
Description: partial 16S ribosomal RNA
Rfam family: Bacterial small subunit ribosomal RNA
Source: RNAcentral
UACGGAGGGUGCAAGCGUUAUCCGGAUUCACUGGGUUUAAAGGGUGCGUAGGCGGGCAGGUAAGUCCGUGGUGAAAUCUCCAAGCUUAACUUGGAAACUGCCGUGGAUACUAUUUGUCUUGAAUAUAGUGGAGGUGAGCGGAAUAUGUCAUGUAGCGGUGAAAUGCUUAGAUAUGACAUAGAACACCCAUUGCGAAGGCAGCUCACUACACAAUCAUUGACGCUGAGGCACGAAAGCGUGGGGAUCAAACAGG